CCAAUAGCGUAUAUUAAAGUUGUUGCAGUUAAAAAGCUCGUAGUUGAAUUUCGGGAUCAAUAUGUUGGUCGUGCCUUUGGUACGUACUAGCUUAUUGAUUUCUCCCUUCUGACGAACCAUGAUGUCAUUAAUUUGGUGUCAUGGGGAAUCAGGACUGUUACUUUGAAAAAAUUAGAGUGUUUAAAGCAGGCUCACGCUUGAAUACAUUAGCAUGGAAUAAUGAAAUAGGACGUUUGAUUCUAUUUUGUUGGUUUCUAGGAUCGACGUAAUGAUUAAUAGGGAUAGUUGGGGGCAUUAGUAUUCAAUUGUCAGAGGUGAAGUUCUUGGAUUUAUUGAAGACUAACUACUGCGAAAGCAUUUGCCAAGGAUGUUUUCAUUAAUCAAGAACGAAAGUUAGGGGAUCGAAGACGAUCAGAUACCGUCGUAGUCUUAACCAUAAACUAUGCCGACUAGGGAUCGGAUGAUGUUAAUUUUUUAAUGACUCAUUCGGCGCCUUACG
RNAcentral lists this ribosomal RNA (499 nucleotides) under uncultured Glomeromycotina. RNAcentral's name for it is "partial small subunit ribosomal RNA". It matches the Rfam family "Eukaryotic small subunit ribosomal RNA", at positions 591 to 1092 of the family's 1831-position model. The record is from RNAcentral. Lineage: Eukaryota; Fungi; Glomeromycota.